CCCUUAGACGUUCUGGGCCGCACGCGCGCUACACUGACCAGUGCAACAAGCAUCCGUCCUUGGCCGACAGGCCCGGGCAAUCUUUGAACGCUGGUCGUGAUGGGGAUAGACUUUUGCAAUUUUUGGUCUUCAACGAGGAAUUCCUAGUAAACGCAAGUCAUCAACUUGCAUUGAUUACGUCCCUGCCCUUUGUACACACCGCCCGUCGCACCUACCGAUUGAAUGGUCCGGUGAAGCCUCCGGAUUGGCGCGCACCUCGGUGCCGCCGAGAAGUUGGCUAAACCUUACCAUUUAGAGGAAGGUGAAGUCGUAGCA
This 315-nucleotide ribosomal RNA is filed under the name uncultured eukaryote. RNAcentral's name for it is "partial 18S ribosomal RNA". It matches the Rfam family "Eukaryotic small subunit ribosomal RNA", at positions 1470 to 1796 of the family's 1831-position model. The record is from RNAcentral.